RNAcentral lists this ribosomal RNA (354 nucleotides) under Bacillus sp. G(2012). RNAcentral's name for it is "bacterial SSU rRNA". It matches the Rfam family "Bacterial small subunit ribosomal RNA", at positions 1120 to 1481 of the family's 1533-position model. Lineage: Bacteria; Bacillati; Bacillota; Bacilli; Caryophanales; Bacillaceae. The record is from RNAcentral.
AGCAUUCAUUGGGCUUUAAGCUGCUCCGGUGACAAACCGGAGGAAGGUGGGGAGACGUCAAAUCAUCAUGCCCCUUAUGACCUGGGCUACACACGUGCUACAAUGGACAGAACAAAGGGCUGCAAGACCGCAAGGUUUAGCCAAUCCCAUAAAUCUGUUCUCAGUUCGGAUCGCAGUCUGCAACUCGACUGCGUGAAGCUGGAAUCGCUAGUAAUCGCGGAUCAGCAUGCCGCGGUGAAUACGUUCCCGGGCCUUGUACACACCGCCCGUCACACCACGAGAGUUUGCAACACCCGAAGUCGGUGAGGUAACCUUUAUGGAGCCAGCCGCCGAAGGUGGGCAGAUGAUUGGGGG